This 253-nucleotide ribosomal RNA is filed under the name uncultured bacterium. RNAcentral's name for it is "partial 16S ribosomal RNA". It matches the Rfam family "Bacterial small subunit ribosomal RNA", at positions 524 to 776 of the family's 1533-position model. The record is from RNAcentral.
UACGUAGGGUGCGAGCGUUAAUCGGAAUUACUGGGCGUAAAGCGUGCGCAGGCGGCUCGUUAAGUCAGAUGUGAAAGCCCCGGGCUCAACCUGGGAACUGCAUUUGAAACUGGCGGGCUUGAGUAUGGCAGAGGGGGGUGGAAUUCCGCGUGUAGCAGUGAAAUGCGUAGAGAUGCGGAGGAACACCGAUGGCGAAGGCAGCCCCCUGGGCCAAUACUGACGCUCAGGCACGAAAGCGUGGGGAGCAAACAGG